Molecule: non-coding RNA, 75 nt
Organism: Dallia pectoralis (Alaska blackfish)
Lineage: Eukaryota; Metazoa; Chordata; Actinopteri; Esociformes; Umbridae
Source: the annotation of a GenBank genome assembly
UACGAAAUAGCUCAGUGGUAGAGUGCAUGCUUUGUAUGAUGUAUGAUGUUCGGGGUUCAAUCCCCAGCUUCUCCC